GACGUAGGGCGCGAGCGUUGUCCGGAUUUAUUGGGCGUAAAGAGCUCGUAGGCGGCUUGUUGCGUCCGCUGUGAAAACCCGCAGCUCAACUGUGGGCUUGCAGCUGAUACGGGCAGGCUUGAGUUCGGUAGGGGAGACUGGAAUUCCCGGUGUAGUGGUGGAAUGCGUAGAUAUCGGGAGGAACACCAGUGGCGAAGGCGGCUUCCUGGACCGGUUCUGACACUGAGGAGCGAAAGCGUGGGGAGCGAUCCGG
This 253-nucleotide ribosomal RNA is filed under the name uncultured bacterium. RNAcentral's name for it is "partial 16S ribosomal RNA". It matches the Rfam family "Bacterial small subunit ribosomal RNA", at positions 524 to 776 of the family's 1533-position model. The record is from RNAcentral.